AUGAGAUGAAAUUCCAGAGAGGUUUAACAUGUUGACAUUGGAAAAACAUAUGCAUUGUAUUUCCUUCUUCUUCUUUGCACCAUGGGCACUGUCCUGAUGAGAUGACUUUCCAGAGAUUUAGUCUUCUAGGAGUAACAAGAGAGUUGUGAAGAAGUCUCCAUGUAAUAUCGGAGUCUCUUCUGUCCGUUGGAUAUCUGUAGAUAACAUCCCACUUGAUGGGCUUGUCAAGCCAGGAAAUUUUCUUUCUUCAUUUGAUGGUUGAGCUUUGAACUUGAAUUGGAUUGGCGAUUCUUCUAGAGACAUCUUCUUGGCAAGAAAAUUUUUAAUUUGAGUGAAAUUGUUUUUGAUUCUCCUCUGGGUUGGUGCUGAGAGGUUUUGAAUUUCCAAGUCCGCCCAAUUUCCUUGAGAGGUGCGUGAGUCCCACUCCACCUAAUUCUGUGUUUGAAAAAA
Long non-coding RNA from Thrips palmi, 450 nucleotides. RefSeq lists it as uncharacterized. NCBI's taxonomy places the organism in Eukaryota, Metazoa, Arthropoda, Insecta, Thysanoptera, Thripidae. The record is from RefSeq and is a predicted model, not a curated record. The transcript has 3 exons.